RNAcentral lists this ribosomal RNA (1801 nucleotides) under metagenome. Its description in RNAcentral is "bacterial LSU rRNA". It matches the Rfam family "Archaeal large subunit ribosomal RNA", at positions 1869 to 2987 of the family's 2987-position model. The record is from RNAcentral.
UCGCAGUGACUCGGACGCUCCGACUGUCUAAUAACAACAUAGGUGACCGCAAAUCCGCAAGGACUCGUACGGUCACUGAAUCCUGCCCAGUGCGGGUAUCUGAACACCUAGUACAAUAGGACGAAGGACCCGUUAACGGCGGGGGUAACUAUGACCCUCUUAAGGUAACAAUCGUUGCCUUAGUAAAAUUCGGCUAUAUGCUGGAACAUCUGGUCAGUAUCCCAUGCUAUCAGUAGAACCAAGUGAAAGCGGUUCUACGGUGACAAUGCAAUGGGUGCAGACAACCAGCAGGAAAGUCUAGAUCCGGAUUGGGUAACCGGUUUCGUGGAUGGAGAAGGUUGCUUCUACGUCGGAAUCAAUCGGAUUGAAAAAAUGAGCUUGGGAUGGCAAGUCCUUCCCGAGUUCAGAGUGACACAGCACGAACGCGACGUGGUGUUGCUCGAACGAAUCCGAGACUUCUUCGGCUUUGGAAGCGUUCGACCGAAUCAUGGAGAUCGGAUGGAUUACCGUGUUCGUGGGCUGGAUAACCUCAACGAGGUUGUCGAGUUCUUCGAACGUCAUCCGCUCCAAUCGAAGAAGCGGUCAGACUUCGAAACCUUUGCGGAAAUCAUCGAGAUGAUGAACGACGAUCUCCAUCUUACGAAAUCCGGGUUAGACCGAAUCGCUCGCCUCGCGUCAUCGAUGAACGAGGGAGUAACCCGAUCUUAUCUAGAAUCCUCAGAGACCGUACGCCGAACACCCGAUUCCGGGUGAAGAGACGGUCCGACCUUCACGGCGACGUGGAGAGGUUGGUUCGCGCCAGCCCGCCCCAUCGCGGGGUCAGUACCCACCGCGGGGAAAGUAACAGCGUGAGCGUAGUACCUUGCCGCUUCAGUAGCGGCUUGCAUGAAUGGAUUAACGAGAGCGUCACUGUCCCAACGUUGGGCCCGGUGAACCGUACGUUCCAGUGCGGAGUCUGGAGACCCCCAGGGGGAAGCGAAGACCCUAUGGAGCUUCACUGCAGGCUGUCGCUGAGACGUGGUCGCUGAUGUGCAGAGUAGGUAGAAGUCGUGACCGAGGCCCGUGCGCUAGCACGGCGCCCAGACACCCAUGAAACACUACCCGUCAGUGACUGCGACUCUCACUCCGGGAGGAGAACACCGGUAGCCGGGCAGUUUGACUGGGGCGGUACGCGCUUGAAAAGAUAUCGAGCGCGCCCCAAGGCCAUCUCAGCCGAGUCGGGAACUCGGCGGAGAGCGCAAGAGCAAAAGAUGGCUUGACAGUGUUCUUCCCAACGAGGAACGCUGACGCGAAAGCGUGGUCUAGCGAACUUAUGCGCCCGCUUGAUGCGGGCCAUAAAUGACAGAAAAGCUACCCUAGGGAUAACAGAGUCGUCACCCGCAAGAGCACAUAUCGACCGGGUGGCUUGCUACCUCGAUGUCGGUUCCCUCCAUCCUGCCCGUGCAGAAGCGGGCAAGGGUGAGGUUGUUCGCCUAUUAAAGGAGGUCGUGAGCUGGGUUUAGACCGUCGUGAGACAGGUCGGCUGCUAUCUACUGGGGGUGUUUGGUGCCUGACGGGAACGACCGUAUAGUACGAGAGGAACUACGGUUGGUGGCCACUGGUGUACCGGUCGUCCGACAGGGCGCUGCCGGGAAGCUACGCCACACGGGGUAACGGCUGAACGCAUCUAAGCCGGAAACCCACCUGGAAAAGAGGCACCGCUGAGGCCACUCGUAAAAGACGAGGUCGAUAGACUCGGGGUGUACGUACCGAGGCAACGAGGUAUUCAGCCCGCGAGCACUAACAGGCCAAAGCCACCAUU